This 590-nucleotide ribosomal RNA is filed under the name Carabus lusitanicus helluo. Its description in RNAcentral is "partial large subunit ribosomal RNA". It matches the Rfam family "Bacterial large subunit ribosomal RNA", at positions 1921 to 2748 of the family's 2925-position model. Lineage: Eukaryota; Metazoa; Arthropoda; Insecta; Coleoptera; Carabidae. The record is from RNAcentral.
UUUUAAAUGGCCGCAGUAUUUUGACUGUGCAAAGGUAGCAUAAUCAUUAGUUUUUUAAUUAAAAGCUUGUAUGAAAGGCUGGACGAGGUAAGAUCUGUCUCUAUUUAAAUUAUAGUAGAAUUUAACUUUUAAGUUAAAAGGCUUAAAUAUUAUUAAAAGACGAGAAGACCCUAUAGAUCUUUAUAGUUUAUUAAAUUAAAUUAAUUUAGAAAUAUUAAUGUUUUAUUUAGUUAAGUUAUUUUAUUGGGGUAAUAAAAAGAUUGAAUUAAUUCUUUUUUAUAAUAAACAUUAAUUUAUGAAUAUUAAUGAUCCAGUUUUACUGAUUAUAAGAUUAAGUUACCUUAGGGAUAACAGCGUAAUUUUUUUAGAGAGUUCAUAUCGAUAAAAAAGUUUGCGACCUCGAUGUUGGAUUAAAGAUUAUUUUAGGUGUAGAAGCUUAAUAAUUUUGGUCUGUUCGACCAUUAAAUCUUUACAUGAUCUGAGUUCAGACCGGCGUAAGCCAGGUCGGUUUCUAUCUUUAAUAAAAUAAAAUAUUUUAGUACGAAAGGACCAAAUAUUUGAUAUAUUUAUAUUUAAUUUAUUGAAUAUUA